GCCAGGUAUGGUGGUGCACACCUGUAGUCCCAGCUACUUGGGAGGCUGAGGUGGGAGCAUUGCUUGAGCCCAGGAAUUCAAGGUUACAGAAAACUAUGAUUGCACCACUGCACUCCAGCCUGGGCAACAGAGUAAGACCCCAUCUCUU
This is a non-coding RNA of Gorilla gorilla gorilla (western lowland gorilla), 148 nucleotides long. It matches the Rfam family "Metazoan signal recognition particle RNA". From Rfam's summary of the family: The signal recognition particle (SRP) is a universally conserved ribonucleoprotein. It is involved in the co-translational targeting of proteins to membranes. The record is from Rfam. Lineage: Eukaryota; Metazoa; Chordata; Mammalia; Primates; Hominidae.